Molecule: transfer-messenger RNA, 369 nt
Filed under: Nocardioidaceae
Lineage: Bacteria; Bacillati; Actinomycetota; Actinomycetes; Propionibacteriales
Also listed under: 1 other name
Description: Marmoricola_A sp011299595 Standard tmRNA
Rfam family: transfer-messenger RNA
About the family: Bacterial tmRNA, also known as 10Sa RNA or SsrA, is named for its dual tRNA and mRNA-like properties. Its role is to liberate the mRNA from a stalled ribosome.
Source: RNAcentral
GGGGCUGAUCGGUUUCGACUUGGGACGUUUCGUUCCAGGGGAAGCGGGUCGAGGAUCCAGGGUUAUCUCGUUAACGAUCUCUGGAAACCAAUAACUGCCAACGCUAAGCGCAGUUCGUUCGCUCUCGCCGCCUGACGGCAGAGUGACGGGUCAGACUGAGGGCGCCUCCGCCUCAGAACCUGGCCUCAUCUAGGAGGCUUGCUGGAUCACGUGCGUCGAAGGCGUGCUCCGGGACUCAACUUCGACUGAGCCUGUCGGUGACGUGUCUGUACGAGCACCGGGGCUGAGAAAACGGUUGUACAGACUGCACCCGGAGAAGACCUGGCACUGCGCCGAAGGACGCGGGUUCGAUUCCCGCCAGCUCCACGA